RNAcentral lists this ribosomal RNA (486 nucleotides) under uncultured bacterium. Its description in RNAcentral is "bacterial SSU rRNA". It matches the Rfam family "Bacterial small subunit ribosomal RNA", at positions 31 to 507 of the family's 1533-position model. The record is from RNAcentral.
GAACGCUUAGCGGGCAGGGCUUAAUACAUGCAAGUCGUGGGGCAGCCAUGAGUAGCAAUACUUGAUGGCGACCGGCAAACGGGUGAGGAACACGGUACACAACCUUCCUUCAAGCGGGGAAUAGCCCAGAGAAAUUUGGGAUUAAUACCCCAUAAUAUAUUUGAUAAGGCAUCUUAUUAAUAUUAAAGCUUCGGCACUUGAUGAUGGGUGUGCGGCUGAUUAGAUAGUUGGCGGGGUAACGGCCCACCAAGUCUACGAUCAGUAGCUGAUGUGAGAGCAUGAUCAGCCACACGGGCACUGAGACACGGGCCCGACUCCUACGGGAGGCAGCAGUAAGGAAUAUUGGACAAUGGACGAAAGUCUGAUCCAGCCAUGCCGCGUGAAGGAUUAAGGUCCUCUGGAUUGUAAACUUCUUUAUAUGGGACGAAAAAGGGCAUUCUUGUUCACUUGACGGUACCAUAUGAAUAAGCACCGGCUAACUCCGUG